RNAcentral lists this microRNA (21 nucleotides) under Mus musculus (house mouse). Its description in RNAcentral is "mmu-miR-7079-3p". The record is from miRBase by way of RNAcentral. Lineage: Eukaryota; Metazoa; Chordata; Mammalia; Rodentia; Muridae.
UGACUUCUGUUCUCUUUCCAG